AAAAAGGGCAUCUGCUGUGAUUAGUUUAGUUGUACAUGAGAGAUUCUCAAAUACAGCUGUGGAAUCACUAUCAAGAGAUUUCAGAUUCAUAAUUUUUGCAAUUAGGGAUAGCUAAUGACAGAUGUUCUUGACACCGCA
Small nuclear RNA from Sinocyclocheilus anshuiensis, 138 nucleotides. The record is from Ensembl. Lineage: Eukaryota; Metazoa; Chordata; Actinopteri; Cypriniformes; Cyprinidae.